CCCGCCAUAGCUCAGUGGCAGAGCGUCAGCCUGUAAAGGACAAAGAGGAAUGGUUGGGAUCCUUUGUCCACAGAACAGUUGAAGGUCGUGUGUUCGAUGCACACUGGUGGGA
Non-coding RNA from Knufia fluminis, 112 nucleotides. The record is from the annotation of a GenBank genome assembly. Lineage: Eukaryota; Fungi; Ascomycota; Eurotiomycetes; Chaetothyriales; Trichomeriaceae.